Molecule: ribosomal RNA, 554 nt
Filed under: Equus caballus (horse)
Lineage: Eukaryota; Metazoa; Chordata; Mammalia; Perissodactyla; Equidae
Description: partial large subunit ribosomal RNA
Rfam family: Bacterial large subunit ribosomal RNA
Source: RNAcentral
CACCUCUAGCAUUUCCAGUAUUAGAGGCACUGCCUGCCCAGUGACAUCUGUUUAAACGGCCGCGGUAUCCUAACCAUGCAAAGGUAGCAUAAUCACUUGUUCCCUAAAUAGGGACUUGUAUGAAUGGCCACACGAGGGUUUUACUGUCUCUUACUUCCAAUCAGUGAAAUUGACCUUCCCGUGAAGAGGCGGGAAUGACUAAAUAAGACGAGAAGACCCUAUGGAGCUUUAAUUAACUGAUUCACAAAAAACAACACACAAACCUAACCUUCAGGGACAACAAAACUUUUGAUUGAAUCAGCAAUUUCGGUUGGGGUGACCUCGGAGAACAAAACAACCUCCGAGUGAUUUAAAUCCAGACUAACCAGUCAAAAUAUAUAAUCACUUAUUGAUCCAAACCAUUGAUCAACGGAACAAGUUACCCUAGGGAUAACAGCGCAAUCCUAUUCCAGAGUCCAUAUCGACAAUUAGAGUUUACGACCUCGAUGUUGGAUCAAGACAUCCUAAUGGUGCAACCGCUAUUAAGGGUUCGUUUGUUCAACGAUUAAAGUCUU